Molecule: transfer RNA, 67 nt
Filed under: Pedetontus silvestrii
Lineage: Eukaryota; Metazoa; Arthropoda; Insecta; Archaeognatha; Machilidae
Description: tRNA-Ser
Source: RNAcentral
GAAAACUGAUUAUUCUAAUAAAAGCUGCUAACUUUUAAUUAUAGCGGUUAACACCGUUAAGUAUUCU